RNAcentral lists this ribosomal RNA (672 nucleotides) under uncultured Alteromonadaceae bacterium. RNAcentral's name for it is "bacterial SSU rRNA". It matches the Rfam family "Bacterial small subunit ribosomal RNA", at positions 97 to 765 of the family's 1533-position model. The record is from RNAcentral. Lineage: Bacteria; Pseudomonadati; Pseudomonadota; Gammaproteobacteria; Alteromonadales; Alteromonadaceae.
GGCGGACGGGUGAGUAACGCGUAGGAAUCUACCUAAUAGUGGGGGAUAGCCCAGGGAAACUUGGAUUAAUACCGCAUACGCCCUACGGGGGAAAGCGGGGGAUCUUCGGACCUCGUGCUAUUAGAUGAGCCUGCGUAAGAUUAGCUAGUUGGUGAGGUAAAGGCUCACCAAGGCGACGAUCUUUAGCUGGUCUGAGAGGAUGAUCAGCCACACUGGGACUGAGACACGGCCCAGACUCCUACGGGAGGCAGCAGUGGGGAAUAUUGGACAAUGGGGGCAACCCUGAUCCAGCCAUGCCGCGUGUGUGAAGAAGGCCUUCGGGUUGUAAAGCACUUUCAGAUGUGAGGAAAGGUUGUAGAUUAAUACUCUGCAGCUGUGACGUUAACAUCAGAAGAAGGACCGGCUAACUCCGUGCCAGCAGCCGCGGUAAUACGGAGGGUCCGAGCGUUAAUCGGAAUUACUGGGCGUAAAGCGCGCGUAGGUGGUUUCGUCAGUCAGAUGUGAAAGCCCCGGGCUCAACCUGGGAACUGCACCUGAUACUGCGAGACUAGAGUACGAUAGAGGGGAGUGGAAUUUCCGGUGUAGCGGUGAAAUGCGUAGAGAUCGGAAGGAACACCAGUGGCGAAGGCGACUCCCUGGAUUGAUACUGACACUGAGGUGCGAAAGCGUGGG